This 332-nucleotide unclassified non-coding RNA is filed under the name soil metagenome. Its description in RNAcentral is "partial contains 5.8S ribosomal RNA, internal transcribed spacer 2, and large subunit ribosomal RNA". The stretch from base 1 to 120 matches the Rfam family "5.8S ribosomal RNA", at positions 35 to 154 of the family's 154-position model. The record is from RNAcentral.
GAUGAAGAACGUAGCAAAAUGCGAUAAGUAAUAUGAAUUGCAGAAUUCAGUGAAUCAUCGAAUCUUUGAACGCACAUUGCGCCCGCCAGUAUUCUGGCGGGCAUGCCUGUUCGAGCGUCAUUUCAACCCUCAAGCACAGCUUGGUGUUGGGACUCGCGUUAAUUCGCGUUCCCCAAAUUGAUUGGCGGUCACGUCGAGCUUCCAUAGCGUAGUAGUAAAACCCUCGUUACUGGUAAUCGUCGCGGCCACGCCGUUAAACCCCAACUUCUGAAUGUUGACCUCGGAUCAGGUGAGAAUACCCGCUGAACUUAAGCAUAUCAAUAAGCGGAGGA